This 464-nucleotide ribosomal RNA is filed under the name uncultured bacterium. RNAcentral describes it as "partial 16S ribosomal RNA". It matches the Rfam family "Bacterial small subunit ribosomal RNA", at positions 339 to 795 of the family's 1533-position model. The record is from RNAcentral.
CUACGGGUGGCAGCAGUGGGGAAUAUUGGACAAUGGGCGCAAGCCUGAUCCAGCAAUACCGCGUGUGUGAAGAAGGCCCGAGGGUUGUAAAGCACUUUCAGUAGGGAGGAUUGAUUUUACGGAUAAUACCCGUGAAGUUUGACGUUACCUACAGAAGAAGCACCGGCUACCUCAGUGCCAGCAGCCGCGGUAAUACUGGGGUGCAAGCGUUAAUCGGAAUUACUGGGCGUAAAGCGCGCGUAGGUGGUUAGAUCAGUUGGGUGUGAAAGCCCCGGGCUCAACCUGGGAACUGCAUUCAAUACUGUCUAGCUAGAGUACGGUAGAGGGAAGUGGAAUUCCGCAUGUAGCGGUGAAAUGCGUAGAGAUGCGGAGGAACACCAGUGGCGAAGGCGACUUCCUGGACCGAUACUGACACUGAGGUGCGAAAGCGUGGGGAGCAAACAGGAUUAGAUACCCCCGUAGUC